Transfer RNA from Acidothermus cellulolyticus 11B, 71 nucleotides. It matches the Rfam family "tRNA". From Rfam's summary of the family: Transfer RNA (tRNA) molecules are approximately 80 nucleotides in length. Their secondary structure includes four short double-helical elements and three loops (D, anti-codon, and T loops). Lineage: Bacteria; Bacillati; Actinomycetota; Actinomycetes; Acidothermales; Acidothermaceae. The record is from Rfam.
GCGGGUGUAGCUCAAUGGCAGAGCUCCAGCCUUCCAAGCUGGCGGUGCGGGUUCGAUUCCCGUCACCCGCU